GUACUAUACCGAUCCAUCUGGCACAUUCUGGCAAUGCAAUGCAAAAGCAAUAGGAUCUGGAUCCGAAGGAGCUGAUAGUUCUCUUCAAGAGCAAUACAACAAGGACCUGUCCCUUCUGGAAGCUGAAACUAUAGCUCUUUCCAUCCUGAAACAAGUCAUGGA
Molecule: long non-coding RNA, 162 nt
Organism: Zingiber officinale
Lineage: Eukaryota; Viridiplantae; Streptophyta; Magnoliopsida; Zingiberales; Zingiberaceae
Exons: 2
Source: RefSeq, a predicted model, not a curated record